GGUGAGUUAGCUCAGCAGGUUAGGGCACCGUGCUGGUAAUGCUGAGGUUGUUGGUUCAAACCCCACAUGGGUCA
Molecule: transfer RNA, 74 nt
Filed under: Poecilia formosa (Amazon molly)
Lineage: Eukaryota; Metazoa; Chordata; Actinopteri; Cyprinodontiformes; Poeciliidae
Rfam family: tRNA
About the family: Transfer RNA (tRNA) molecules are approximately 80 nucleotides in length. Their secondary structure includes four short double-helical elements and three loops (D, anti-codon, and T loops).
Source: Rfam by way of RNAcentral